Molecule: ribosomal RNA, 383 nt
Filed under: uncultured eukaryote
Lineage: Eukaryota
Description: partial 18S ribosomal RNA
Rfam family: Eukaryotic small subunit ribosomal RNA
Source: RNAcentral
CAAUAGCGUAUAUUAAAGUUGUUGCGGUUAAAAAGCUCGUAGUUGGAUCUCGGCAGGCAGGGGGUGGUUCGCUCUUAGCGCUACUGCCCCAUUUGCCUGUGUGAUUGGCGGAGGUUUCGGGGUGCUCUUCGUUGAGUGACCCGGGGCGCCGUCAGGUUUACUUUGAAAAAAUUAGAGUGCUCAAAGCAGGCUUUUCACGCUUGAAUAUUCGUGCAUGGAAUAAUGGAAUAGGAACUCGUUCCUAUUUUGUUGGUUUUCGGAAAUCGAGUUAAUGAUUAAUAGGGACAAUUGGGGGCAUUAGUAUUCAGACGACAGAGGUGAAAUUCUUGGACCGUCUGAAGACUAACUACUGCGAAAGCAUUUGCCAAGAGUGUUUUCAUUAA